UAAACCAUGCACCGAAGCUGCGGCAGCGACACUAUGUGUUGUUGGGUAGGGGAGCGUUCUGUAAGCCUGCGAAGGUGACCUGUGAGGGUUGCUGGAGGUAUCAGAAGUGCGAAUGCUGACAUAAGUAACGAUAAAGCGGGUGAAAAGCCCGCUCGCCGGAAGACCAAGGGUUCCUGUCCAACGUUAAUCGGGGCAGGGUGAGUCGACCCCUAAGGCGAGGCCGAAAGGCGUAGUCGAUGGGAAACAGGUUAAUAUUCCUGUACUUGGUGUUACUGCGAAGGGGGGACGGAGAAGGCUAUGUUAGCCGGGCGACGGUUGUCCCGGUUUAAGCAUGUAGGCUGAUUGUCCAGGCAAAUCCGGAUAAUCAAGGCUGAGGUGUGAUGACGAGGCACUACGGUGCUGAAGUAACAAAUGCCCUGCUUCCAGGAAAAGCCUCUAAGCAUCAGGUAACAUCAAAUCGUACCCCAAACCGACACAGGUGGUCAGGUAGAGAAUACCAAGGCGCUUGAGAGAACUCGGGUGAAGGAACUAGGCAAAAUGGUGCCGUAACUUCGGGAGAAGGCACGCUGGUGUGUAGGUGAAG
This 583-nucleotide ribosomal RNA is filed under the name Klebsiella pneumoniae. Its description in RNAcentral is "partial 23S ribosomal RNA". It matches the Rfam family "Bacterial large subunit ribosomal RNA", at positions 1183 to 1767 of the family's 2925-position model. Lineage: Bacteria; Pseudomonadati; Pseudomonadota; Gammaproteobacteria; Enterobacterales; Enterobacteriaceae. The record is from RNAcentral.